Molecule: long non-coding RNA, 841 nt
Organism: Mustela putorius furo (domestic ferret)
Lineage: Eukaryota; Metazoa; Chordata; Mammalia; Carnivora; Mustelidae
Source: Ensembl
UAUAUUAUAUCCAAUUUUGGAUUAAAAAUUAAAUUAUUCUAGUUCAUCGUCCGGCGGCAACCAUGGCGGGUCAAGAGGAUCCGGUGCAGCGGGAGAUUCACCAGGACUGGGCGAACCGAGAAUACAUUGAGGUCAUCACCAGCAGCAUCAAGAAAAUUGCGGACUUUCUCAACUCAAUAUAUGUCUUGUCGUUCAAGACUUGCAACACUGAACGAGAAAUUGACAGCCCUUGAACGGAGAAUAGAGUACAUUGAAGCGCGGGUGACAAAAGGUGAGACCCUCACCUAGAGCUAUGCCAUGCUGCUGCUGGGAAGUUGCUUCAUGGAACGCAACAGGGCUUUGGGUUCUGCCAUGUACGUCGGUGUGUGAUGUGGCAUGUGGGAAGACAUCCAGGGAAGCUCUUAGAACCAACAUUAGGCAUUUUAUCUUUGAAGUAACAUUUUGUAGAACUAUCUGUCAAUGUAUGAGGCGCUCAGAGCCAGACGCCUGGGACUCUGUUAAGGUCCUCCCCACCUCUCUUUCUCUCAGACUUUUCUUACAGCUCUCAUUGCCUCUGCAUUGAUUCUGGAAACAGUCUUUGUCUCCUUUUCACCUUUGGUGGGGUUUGGGAGGCAGUCCUGGCCGAGACACUUAUGCCCUGGCAAGGUGGCCGCCAGAGAAUGUUGUUGCUAACCCACCAGUUUCUUGUCCUUCCAGGCCCCCACUUGGCUUGAAGGGACAUGUUCAGAAUUUUCUUUCUGUCACUUGGGGUAUCUUUGCCUCUCAUAUUUCCCUAAUAAACUCCUCAACUUUAAAAAAAAAAAAUUAAAUUAUUCUAAGCUGAAUGAAAUAAUCAUGGCUC